This 369-nucleotide ribosomal RNA is filed under the name uncultured bacterium. RNAcentral describes it as "bacterial SSU rRNA". It matches the Rfam family "Bacterial small subunit ribosomal RNA", at positions 29 to 410 of the family's 1533-position model. The record is from RNAcentral.
AACGAACGCUGGCGGCAUGCCUAACACAUGCAAGUCGAACGGGAUCCUAGCUUGCUAGGUGAGAGUGGCGGACGGGUGAGUAACACGUGGGAAUCUGCCUUUUGGUUCGGGAUAACCGCGGGAAACUGCGGCUAAUACCGAAUGCCCUCGAGAGAGGAAAGAUUUAUCGCCAGAAGAGGAGCCCGCGUCCGAUUAGGUAGUUGGUGGGGUAAAGGCCUACCAAGCCGACGAUCGGGUAGCUGGUCUGAGAGGAUGAUCAGCCACACUGGGACUGAGAUACGGCCCCAGACUCCUACGGGAGGCAGCAGUGGGGAAUAUUAGGGACAAGUGGGGGGCGAACCCUGAUCCAGCAAUGCCGCGUGAGUGAUG